GACGAACCGUGCGAACGUUAUUCGGAAUCACUGGGCUUAAAGCGCGUGUAGGCGGGCGGUGCGUCGGUCGUUGAAAUCCCCCGGCUCAACCGGGGAAGUGGCGCCGAUACGACCGCCCUGGAGCGACGUAGGGGGAACUGGAACUUCCGGUGGAGCGGUGAAAUGCGUUGAGAUCGGAAGGAACGCCCGUGGCGAAAGCGAGUUCCUGGACGUCGGCGUGACGCUGAGACGCGAAAGCCAGGGGAGCGAACGGG
This 254-nucleotide ribosomal RNA is filed under the name uncultured bacterium. Its description in RNAcentral is "partial 16S ribosomal RNA". It matches the Rfam family "Bacterial small subunit ribosomal RNA", at positions 524 to 776 of the family's 1533-position model. The record is from RNAcentral.